GGGCGAUUAGCUCAGUGGAUAGAGCGUUGGUCUCCGGAACCAAAGGUCGCGGGUUCAACUCCCGUAUCGCCCUCCA
This 76-nucleotide transfer RNA is filed under the name Spirochaetota bacterium. RNAcentral describes it as "Spirochaetes bacterium tRNA-Arg". It matches the Rfam family "tRNA". From Rfam's summary of the family: Transfer RNA (tRNA) molecules are approximately 80 nucleotides in length. The record is from RNAcentral. Lineage: Bacteria; Pseudomonadati; Spirochaetota.